GUGCUUGCUUCAGCAACACAUAUACCAAAAUAGGAACAAUGCAGAGAUUAGCAUGGCUCCUGCACAAAGAUAACACACAAAUUCAUGAAGUGUUCUAUUUUUUU
This is a small nuclear RNA of Otolemur garnettii (small-eared galago), 104 nucleotides long. The record is from Ensembl. Lineage: Eukaryota; Metazoa; Chordata; Mammalia; Primates; Galagidae.